RNAcentral lists this ribosomal RNA (495 nucleotides) under uncultured bacterium. RNAcentral describes it as "partial 16S ribosomal RNA". It matches the Rfam family "Bacterial small subunit ribosomal RNA", at positions 28 to 507 of the family's 1533-position model. The record is from RNAcentral.
GAUGAACGCUGGCGGCGUGCCUAAUACAUGCAAGUCGAGCGAACGGACGAGAAGCUUGCUUCUCUGAUGUUAGCGGCGGACGGGUGAGUAACACGUGGAUAACCUACCUAUAAGACUGGGAUAACUUCGGGAAACCGGAGCUAAUACCGGAUAAUAUUUUGAACCGCAUGGUUCAAAAGUGAAAGACGGUCUUGCUGUCACUUAUAGAUGGAUCCGCGCUGCAUUAGCUAGUUGGUAAGGUAACGGCUUACCAAGGCAACGAUGCAUAGCCGACCUGAGAGGGUGAUCGGCCACACUGGAACUGAGACACGGUCCACUCCUACGGGAGGCAGCAGUAGGGAAUCUUCCGCAAUGGGCGAAAGCCUGACGGAGCAACGCCGCGUGAGUGAUGAAGGUCUUCGGAUCGUAAAACUCUGUUAUUAGGGAAGAACAUAUGUGUAAGUAACUGUGCACAUCUUGACGGUACCUAAUCAGAAAGCCACGGCUAACUACGUG